Molecule: non-coding RNA, 1045 nt
Organism: Camelina sativa (false flax)
Lineage: Eukaryota; Viridiplantae; Streptophyta; Magnoliopsida; Brassicales; Brassicaceae
Source: RefSeq, a predicted model, not a curated record
CCUAAACCUAUAGUUGUGACACUGACAUCAACAACAAAAAAAAACAUAAUCGGCAAGCGCCGCCAAGCUCUGCAAACUCAUUCCUUAAAAAGAGAUCGAGCAAAGAGCCACUUUGGUGAAACAAAAAAGUUGUGUUGGAUUCAGAGGUCUGAAUCUGUUGUUACACUGAUGGGGUUCGAAGAUCUCUACUGUUAGAUUGAUUCAGCAUCCUGUCACACCUUAAGGUACUUUACAGCUAAUUCUUCCUUUGAGUAGCCAGUAGCGCUAGGUUGGGACUAGAUAUGAGAUUAAGAUUGACUAGUUGGUUUAAUGACAAUAUCUUCGAUGAUACGGUGUCUCGUCUCAACCUCUCUGUUUUUGGUUUCAUUGGAAUACAUACGGCUGUUUUCAAGUUGAGACGACAUGGCUUUGUGAUUUUUCUCUCCAAGCGAAUGGUGAUACUCAAACUAUCCAUAAUCUAUAUAUAUUGAGAAAGUCACUUUUUGAGAUGAUGAAAUUUUGUUUGUUUUUUAGCACCAUUAGCUUGAAACACUUGGUUUUAUGGAUUUUAUCUCAAAUGGAAGAUUUAUGUGGGAUAGUUUGAGUUGAUCAGAUGGUAGAAAUGGGAUAUAGAUCUAUGUUUUAGUCUUUACCAUAUCAAAAAGUUGUAGAUUUAGUUGAUCGAAUGGUAGAAACAUAGGUCAUCAAAUCCUAUAUUGAUAUUCAAGUAUACGCAAAAGAGUAAGAUGGAUCUUGAUAUAUCAUUGAGAUAGUGGGCGUAUAUGAGCAUAUCCAAAAGAGUGAGAUGGAUUCUGAUCAUCUUUCUAGUAGUAGACAUAUUCUAGGAUAUGCAAAAGAGUAAGAUACAUGGUUGUGAUAAAGGAAAUUACAAAAGACAAGUGAUUUUGCAAGAAAGAAGAUGCCUAAGCUAAGAUGUUUAUGUGAGUGUGUCUAGGAGAUCAAUACAUGAGUUCUUCACUUGUAAUUUUCUCUUAUCAUUGUACUGGUCUUUUGGCCGAGUCUUAUGUUGUAUGAAGUUUCAUUAUUAAAAGCAAAAUUUCUUCUU